This 1307-nucleotide long non-coding RNA is filed under the name Phasianus colchicus (ring-necked pheasant). RNAcentral describes it as "lncRNA (ENSPCLG00000010517.1)". The record is from RNAcentral. Lineage: Eukaryota; Metazoa; Chordata; Aves; Galliformes; Phasianidae.
AUGGUACGGAUCAGCUGGAUGCUAGGCAGCGACCUGCUGGUGCGGCUGUGGGCGCUGGGGGGACUCGCAGCCCGCGCAUCCGUCUCAGGAGAUGCCCGCGGCGCCGGGCUGCUCGGUGCCACCUGGCCCGCAGGCCUCGCGCCGGCACCAGGCCGACGCGACCCGACGCCGGGAUACAGGAAGCCCCAGCUUCCUCAGCCCGAGAGGAGGAGAGGCCGGCACGGCUCCCGCCCACGGGCGGCGCCUCCUCCCCCAGCGCUCCCUCCCGUGGGCCUCGUCGGCCGCCGUCCUCCCGCACCAGGUGAACGCGUAUCCCUCCGCGGCGGCCGCCCCCAGCGCCGGGCUCGCAGCUCCGCAGUCCCCGGAUGGAAACUGUUAUGGCCGCCAACGGCGACCCGCCGGGCCAUGGAGACGGGCGAGGUAACUCCGCGGGGGGCGCGGGACGGAGGAGGGCCGGCCAAAAGGCGGAGAGGAGCGGGCGACGGGAGCUCUCGUAGAGCAGGAAGCCGCGCUGGGUUGACUUGUUAAAUAGUCCCGCGCCCCCGCUGCCGUGGAAAGUCGGUGGUGCAGCGCUCUGGCCGGCGGCGGGGCUGCGUGUAGCUCACGCACCGGAAUAACGCAUGGCAGCGCCGGCGCCGUGUCCCUCGGCCGAGCGGUGGCGCCGCGCCCCCGGGGUCGUGUGCGCGCCCCGCGGCGGGCGGGGGCGGGGCUGCCCCGGGGUUGCCCGGUGCUCCCCGUGAGGGAGCGCGGUCGGGUGGAGCCGGCGGCGGCCGCAGGUGGGUGCGCGGUGCUGGCGCUUUGGGAGCGGCUCGGGGGCGUCGGGGCAGAGCCGUAGCGGGCGGUGUCCGGGUGUCCGGGUGCGGUCCCGCACCCCGCAGGUGGAUGCGCGGCGGGCACGGGUGGGACCGGGCGGGCGUGAGGAGCGGUGUCUGCGCUCAGCGCUGGGCAGGGUUGUGCCUCGCCGUGACACUGCGCGCCUACGGAGCUCCGAGCAGUGCUGGCUGCAGGGAGCUGUGUUUGGAACUUCUGGGGUUUUAUUUCCAGGUAGUAAAACUAGAUGUAAAAAAUCCCCAACUUGGGCGAGCCCUCACUCUCAUUUCUUGCUAGGUUGAAGUGUACAGCUAAAGCCUUGCCUCCUUAUCCUUUUAGAACAGACUAAUGAAAUACUGAUGUAUUGGGGCAGUUUUGGGGGAAGAAAUUUGAGGCUCGGGUCUCACGUGGUUACUUGAGCUCCUGCCUAGUGGUUUCUUUCCAUAUCAGUUACUUUUGGUUAAUGCUUAUAUACGAAUUUAUUAUAUAUACUUUAU